GAAUCAAAAAAGGGAUGAGUAGCGGACAACCGUGAGUGUGACGAGAAGAAUCGUUGUUCCGUUGAUGGUCUUUGAACGCUUUGAACUCUCUACUGUCGCUUCUCUGCUACUCGUUUUGUAUAUAUAACCGCGCCGAAAAACCCCUAGUUGACAUUCAUUCGUCGUUCACUUGCCGUUUCGCACACUCAACAUAUUAGCCGUGCCCUACUUAACGAGUAAUAUACGAUGUUGUCGUAAUGAUAACCAACAAUCGUUACAUGGUUAUCAAAAAAGAGUCUAAUAAUCUACAAAUGUUAUCCAUGUUGUUGCUGCGAAGUAUUAUACAUUUUAGUCGCGUUAUUAUUCGUCCUAUUUAUGUGUGUCCGUUAAAAAGUUCUUUUCGUUUAUUUUG
Cinara cedri is the source of this 391-nucleotide non-coding RNA. The record is from the annotation of a GenBank genome assembly. Lineage: Eukaryota; Metazoa; Arthropoda; Insecta; Hemiptera; Aphididae.